UAGGGAAUCUUCCACAAUGGGCGAAAGCCUGAUGGAGCAACGCCGCGUGUGUGAUGAAGGGUUUCGGCUCGUAAAACACUGUUGUAAGAGAAGAAUGACAUUGAGAGUAACUGUUCAAUGUGUGACGGUAUCUAACCAGAAAGCCACGGCUAACUACGUGCCAG
RNAcentral lists this ribosomal RNA (164 nucleotides) under uncultured bacterium. Its description in RNAcentral is "partial 16S rRNA". It matches the Rfam family "Bacterial small subunit ribosomal RNA", at positions 355 to 511 of the family's 1533-position model. The record is from RNAcentral.